UGCAUCAGACCAGCACUGCUCUCAAAAUUCAUUCGAAGCAGGGGAAAGUCUCGCCGGGUUAAAAAUUCCAUGAUGAGCCUAUCUCGGUGAGGUAUACUCUUCAGGCUGGGAGCAGUGGGGGAGCCACAUUUUACAUCCUUUAGCUGCUUCAGAGCUCAGUGCAGUUGUUUCCAUUAAGAUGCGCAAUGAAAACAGCAGGGUUUUACAGUUUGCUUCACUCCAGCGAGGGAAAAGAGGGUCACAUGCUGCUGAGGCUAAAAAUUGUCCAGCAAAGAGACAGAGCUCCAUAGCAACAAAUUACCUUGCUCAGUGACAAUCAGGAGAUUGGCUGUGUAAACCAUCGCAAUAGAAACUCUGCCAAAAUGCUUGGCAAACACGGAAAUGAUAAGCAAUCUGCAAGAGGCCCUGUUGAAGCAGAAAGGAUGCAGAAUCCCAGCCCUUGUACAUGCCCUGCUUGAGUCACACAAAGUACACACUGAUCCUGUACUCACUGUUCCAGGGACAUGGGGAGAAAAUGUACACUGACUAAAACUGCAGUGUAAUCUUCAGGAAAUGGUGCAGGAAAGAAUUAAAUUCUACAGUCACUUUCAAGAUGAUGGCUCUAAUUUCAGAAGAAAUAUCAAAGUUAACACCACUCUAACAGUACAGCAGUGGAAGAAAAUCCAUCGGGCCCAAGAGAAGAAAUUUCCCGAAGACCGAGUGAAUUUGGAGCUUUGAAGACUUUAUCAUUUUAAGAAUUUCUCAAAAAUAGAGCCAGCAGUUGUAAGCAUUUAAACAAAACAAUGAGUCAGCAGGAAUUUGUAGAAAGAUCAACUGGAGAGUGACAGCACUCCAGGCUAAAGCCUUUAGUUUAGAGUUGGUAAGAAGCGCAGAAGCAGCAGAGCAGGUUAGAAAGAGUUUAAAGACUAGUCACAAGCUGACAGCUACAUACUCCAUCAGGAAUCAAGGAUCUGUAGGAGUGUUCCCAGUUUGAGGUUUGGCUAUGAAAUGAAUAUAUCAGAGCUCCAUGAAUAAGUUUAAAAUUCUUUCUUCGGCAAGGAGAGAAAAUUUAAAUCAAUUGGUGUAAUAAACAGGCUGGGAAGUUUAGAAUAAAAAACAAUAGUAGUACUCCCAGCU
Molecule: long non-coding RNA, 1116 nt
Organism: Chiloscyllium plagiosum (whitespotted bambooshark)
Lineage: Eukaryota; Metazoa; Chordata; Chondrichthyes; Orectolobiformes; Hemiscylliidae
Source: RefSeq, a predicted model, not a curated record